UUAGCAGCAAACWRACGAACGSUGGCGGCGUGCYUAMCACAUGCAAGUCSRACGGUAACAGUCCCUUCGGGAGCUGACGAGUGGCGCACGGGUGAGUAACGCGUGGAUAUCUGCCUAUUAGUGGGGGACAACUACGGGAAACCGUAGCUAAUACCGCAUAAUCUCUACGGAGGAAAGCAGGGGACCUUUCGGGGCCUUGCGCUGAUAGAUGAGUCCGCGUCUGAUUAGCUAGUUGGUGGGGUAAUGGCCUACCAAGGCGAUGAUCAGUAACUGGUUUGAGAGGAUGAUCAGUCACACUGGAACUGAGACACGGUCCAGACUCCUACGGGAGGCAGCAGUGGGGAAUAUUGCACAAUGGGCGAAAGCCUGAUGCAGCGACGCCGCGUGCGGGAAGAAGGCCUUCGGGUUGUAAACCGCUUUCAAUUGGGAAGAAGAGAUGAGGGCUAAUAUCCCUCUGAUUUGACGGUACCUUUAGAAGAAGCACCGGCUAAUUUCGUGCCAGCAGCCGCGGUAAUACGAAAGGUGCAAGCGUUGUUCGGAUUUACUGGGCGUAAAGAGAUCGUAGGUGGUUUAUUAAGUCGGAUGUGAAAUCCCGGGGCUCAACCCCGGAACUGCAUUCGAUACUGAUAGGCUAGAGUUUGGGAGGGGUAAGCGGAAUUCCGUGUGUAGCAGUGAAAUGCGUAGAUAUACGGAGGAACACCUGAGGCGAAGGCGGCUUACUGGACCAAUACUGACACUGAGGAUCGAAAGCGUGGGUAGCAAACAGGAUUAGAUACCCUGGUAGUCCACGCCCUAAACGAUGUCAACUAGCCGUAGCGGGUAUCGACCCCUGCUGUGGCGAAGCUAACGCGAUAAGUUGACCGCCUGGGGAGUACGGUCGCAGAKCURMACCUCAAAAUGAUGCGCGG
Molecule: ribosomal RNA, 908 nt
Filed under: uncultured Zetaproteobacteria bacterium
Lineage: Bacteria; Pseudomonadati; Pseudomonadota; Candidatius Mariprofundia
Description: bacterial SSU rRNA
Rfam family: Bacterial small subunit ribosomal RNA
Source: RNAcentral